RNAcentral lists this unclassified non-coding RNA (1410 nucleotides) under Hevea brasiliensis (rubber tree). The record is from RNAcentral. Lineage: Eukaryota; Viridiplantae; Streptophyta; Magnoliopsida; Malpighiales; Euphorbiaceae.
CAUUGGGAAAGCUAUGGCAUAUUCAGACAAGUCCACAACUAUGAGUGCAUAUAAUUUUCAUUGAUUUGUAUACAUGAUAUUACUUCAUUUAUUCUCUCACCGUUUGCUUUUCUGGGACACCCUCAGCUGAAGAAGUUCUUUUGACUUGCUUUCCUCUAUACCCAAAUUUCUCCUGAUCCUAUCUACCAUUUUUUUAUAUAUGAACUCAUUAUUCUUGUUUUCCUUUUCUUUUCUGGUUUGCAAUGUCUAUUGAAACAAAAUAAUAUUUUUAAUCAUUUUAUUGAGAUACCUCAAUUGCAUUACUCAUUUUGCUUGCGAUUAUCUUGAGAGGAUUGAAUAAAUUUGCUAUUAAGUAAGAAUAGCAUUAAGUUUUACUGUUAAGUGAAUGAGAAUAGUGACCAACGUUAUUUUUAUUUGUUUCUCAUUCUUUUCAGUGGAUUGGAGCAUUUUUCUCUCCAAAUUUGUGAUCAUAUUAGACUUCCAUCUUCUGGUGUAUUAAGUCUUCAAAGAAAGGAUUAGACAUCUGUCGCAACAAAAGGGAAUCUAGCACACAAUUUAUAGGAUAUUUUGACAGUUUUAUUCAUAUACCGCUGUAGUAUCUGAGUUAUUUGUCGUUAUAUCUGCAGGUAUCCCCCACAUAUUCAAAGGAGGUAACUGGAAAUCCAGCAGUUGCUCCUCCACAAGUUCCAUGGAAUAUUGAAUGGAAUUCUCCCAGAUAUAUGGGAUCCUUAUAACGAUAAGUUCAUUCUUGUUAGUGGAUGACAAUGUUGUUUUUGAAUUUCUUUGACAAGUGGUUCUUGAAUCUAAAGGCCUUUAGUUAUAGCUCUUCCAUGUUCUGUAUCCAUGAACUAGCAUUUGUAAUUUUUGCAAUGCUUAAAUUGUGAGUAAAAAGCUAAAUGGAAGAAUGGUGUGUCUACUGUACGAUCAUGUAUGUUGCAGAUUUCUUCAUUAAUAUUGCAAUGGGAGCUUAAAAUCGUUGUUAUGUUGAGGAUUUGAGUAGUGGGACUGAGUCUUUGGUUCUGACUUUUUGAUGUUGCUUAACACAUAUGAAAUAUGCGAGAGUUUUGCCCUAUUUAGGGUGAAAUUUCUACACCUAGCUCAGUUUUGUUUUUCAAGUUUGAACAUGUCAUAUUGGAACCAAAUGUAAUUUUUACCGAGUUUUUUUUCACUAUUUAUUUAGCCAUACUGAAUAUUUCUUUGAUGAUUCUGAUUAUUGCCAAUGCAAUUGUGCUAAUACAUGUAUUAUUAAAGGUUCUCUACACAUCUGAGAAUGUUGAGAGCAGCCAAGGAGGCUUUGUAGCAGAGGCUUGGUUUAAAGAAAGCUUAUAUCCCUUUAGAAGGGAUCAUCACUCGCCUAACACAUUAGAAAGGAAUCCAUCUCAUCAUGCAUGCAAUUUGGCGAACCUUAGA